UCAGAAGUGCGAAUGCUGACAUAAGUAACGAUAAAGCGGGUGAAAAGCCCGCUCGCCGGAAGACCAAGGGUUCCUGUCCAACGUUAAUCGGGGCAGGGUGAGUCGACCCCUAAGGCGAGGCCGAAAGGCGUAGUCGAUGGGAAACAGGUUAAUAUUCCUGUACUUGGUGUUACUGCGAAGGGGGGACGGAGAAGGCUAUGUUGGCCGGGCGACGGUUGUCCCGGUUUAAGCGUGUAGGCUGGUUUUCCAGGCAAAUCCGGAAAAUCAAGGCUGAGGCGUGAUGACGAGGCACUACGGUGCUGAAGCAACAAAUGCCCUGCUUCCAGGAAAAGCCUCUAAGCAUCAGGUAACAUCAAAUCGUACCCCAAACCGACACAGGUGGUCAGGUAGAGAAUACCAAGGCGCUUGAGAGAACUCGGGUGAAGGAACUAGGCAAAAUGGUGCCGUAACUUCGGGAGAAGGCACGCUGAUAUGUAGGUGAAGUCCCUCGCGGAUGGAGCUGAAAUCAGUCGAAGAUACCAGCUGGCUGCAACUGUUUAUUAAAAACACAGCACUGUGCAAACACGAAAGUGGACGUAUACGGUGUGACGCCUGCCCGGUGCCGGAAGGUUAAUUGAUGGGGUUAGCGCAAGCGAAGCUCUUGAUCGAA
Molecule: ribosomal RNA, 649 nt
Filed under: Escherichia coli
Lineage: Bacteria; Pseudomonadati; Pseudomonadota; Gammaproteobacteria; Enterobacterales; Enterobacteriaceae
Description: partial 23S ribosomal RNA
Rfam family: Bacterial large subunit ribosomal RNA
Source: RNAcentral